AACGCACAUUGCGCCUCUUGGUAUUCUAGGAGGCAUGCCUGUUCGAGCGUCAUUACAACCCUCAAGCACUGCUUGGUAUUGGGCUCUGCGAGCAUAUGGCAGACCCUAAAGCUAGUGGCGGUGUCCUUGGGUUCUGCGCGUAGUAACAUCUCGUCGCUAUAGAAUCUCAAGGUUCACUUGCCAGCCAACCUUCACUCUGAUAGUUGACCUCGGAUCAGGCAGGGAUACCCGCUGAACUUAA
This 241-nucleotide unclassified non-coding RNA is filed under the name uncultured fungus. Its description in RNAcentral is "sequence contains ITS2". The record is from RNAcentral. Lineage: Eukaryota; Fungi.